GCCCCGGUGGCCGCAGGGGUAGCGCGCGGAGCCGGGAGGCGGCGGGCCGCGGGUUCUAGUCCCGCCUCGGACG
This is a non-coding RNA of Mycteria americana (wood stork), 73 nucleotides long. NCBI's taxonomy places the organism in Eukaryota, Metazoa, Chordata, Aves, Ciconiiformes, Ciconiidae. The record is from the annotation of a GenBank genome assembly.